GGGCGGAAGAGGUGGCCCCGGAUGCUGCGGCGCCCGCUGGCCGGGCUGGCAGCGGCCGCCCUGGGCCGGGCCCCGCCGGACGGCUUGCUCUGCUCUUUACCUGGGGUUGCUGUCGAGGACCCUGUGCAAGACUCGGCCGGUUUUUCUUUCUCCCUGAUGGACAGACCCAAACAUAGCCGCGCAGCAUCGUGAAGGGCUGGGGCCUUCACGCGUCUGUGGCUGUGGAAGGGCCUGGUUUCCUCAGGAGGCAUGUCGGGCCCCAGGCCUGUGGUGCUGAGCGGGCCUUCGGGAGCUGGGAAGAGCACCCUGCUGAAGAGGCUGUUCCAGGAGCACAGCGGCAUCUUUGGCUUCAGCGUGUCCCGUGAGUCCAGGGCUCUUGUGGAGGGGUGUGUAGACCUCAAGGCUUCUGAGUAGUCCUAGCACCGUGAGCAGGCCAGGAGCCCGAACCCAACAGGCACACCCACCCUGCAGACUGUCCGAACUCUUGCACACUCCCCCCAACACAGAACCGGAGGUUAUUGCACUCCUGCUGUCCUGCGUGCCUGUGUCUCCCUUCCCUGGGUCUGUUGAGUACUGAUAACUGGGCUGCAGCGUCUCUUUCUGGGAGAACCCUCACCUUGUAGGCUCCUGCGCCUUUCCAGCGGUGUGCUCCACUGGCUGCCUGCAUCCUGGGGCUCAAGUGCUGUCGGGACUGCAAGGGAAAUGCUGGGUAGGGCAGUGGGCUUCGAGCAGCCCCCAAUGGGUGACAGGUCUCUCUGCUAGAUACCACAAGGAACCCGAGGCCCGGCGAGGAGAACGGCAAAGAUUACUACUUUGUAACCAGGGAGGUGAUGCAGCGUGACAUAGCAGCCGGCGACUUCAUCGAGCAUGC
This 871-nucleotide small RNA is filed under the name Pongo abelii (Sumatran orangutan). Its description in RNAcentral is "processed transcript". Lineage: Eukaryota; Metazoa; Chordata; Mammalia; Primates; Hominidae. The record is from RNAcentral.